UAGGGAAUUUUGCACAAUGGGCGCAAGCCUGAUGCAGCAACGCCGCGUGAGUGAAGAAGGCUCUUGGGUUGUAAAGCUCUUUCGAUUGGGAAGAAGGGUUCACUUGCAAAUAGUCUGUGGAUCUGACGGUACCAGAAGAAGAAGCACCUGCUAACUUCGUGCCAGCAGCAGCGGUAAUACGAAGGGUGCAAGCGUUGUUCGGAAUUACUGGGCGUAAAGCGCGCGUAGGCGGGCUGGAAAGUCGAUUGUGAAAUACCUGGGCUUAACCUGGGAACUGCAGUCGAAACUCCCGGUCUUGAGUGCCUGAGAGGAUGGCGGAAUUCCCGGUGUAGUAGUGAAAUACGUAGAUAUCGGGAAGAACACCUGAGGCGAAGGCGGCUAUCUGGCGGUGCACUGACGC
RNAcentral lists this ribosomal RNA (400 nucleotides) under uncultured bacterium. RNAcentral's name for it is "bacterial SSU rRNA". It matches the Rfam family "Bacterial small subunit ribosomal RNA", at positions 355 to 746 of the family's 1533-position model. The record is from RNAcentral.